UACGUAGGGUGCGAGCGUUAAUCGGAAUUACUGGGCGUAAAGCGUGCGCAGGCGGUUCGUUGUGUCGGCGGUGAAAGCCCCGGGCUCAACCUGGGAAUGGCCGUUGAAACUGGCGAACUGGAGUGUGGCAGAGGGGGGUGGAAUUCCGCGUGUAGCAGUGAAAUGCGUAGAGAUGCGGAAGAACACCAGUGGCGAAGGCGGCCCGCUGGGCAGUGGCUGACGCUGAAGCGCGACAGCGUGGGGAGCAAACAGG
Molecule: ribosomal RNA, 253 nt
Filed under: uncultured bacterium
Lineage: Bacteria
Description: partial 16S ribosomal RNA
Rfam family: Bacterial small subunit ribosomal RNA
Source: RNAcentral